AACGAACGCUGGCGGCAUGCCUAACACAUGCAAGUCGAACGAACCCUUCGGGUCUUGUGUCGCCCGGGUGCGUCACGCGUGGGAUCCUUCACUUAGGGUCGGCCUAACUCCCCGACAGGGGUGCUAAUACCGGAUAAUAUCUUCGGACCAAAGAUUUAUCGACUUUGGUUGGGCCCGCGUUGAAUUAGCUAGUUCGUAGGGUAAUAGCCUACCACGGCGACGAUGCAUAAAUUGUCUGAGAGAAUGAUCAGCCACACUGGGACUGAGACACGGCCCAGACUCCUACGGGAGGCAGGAGUGGGGAAUAGUGGACAACGGGCGAAAGCAUGAUCCAGCAAGGACGCGUGAGCGAUGAAGGUCGGAGGGUUGUAAAGCGCUUGUACCCGGGAUGAUAAUGACAGUACCGGGAGAAUAAGCUCCGGCUAACUACGUG
This 433-nucleotide ribosomal RNA is filed under the name uncultured bacterium. Its description in RNAcentral is "partial 16S ribosomal RNA". It matches the Rfam family "Bacterial small subunit ribosomal RNA", at positions 29 to 507 of the family's 1533-position model. The record is from RNAcentral.